This 70-nucleotide transfer RNA is filed under the name Dipodomys ordii (Ord's kangaroo rat). It matches the Rfam family "tRNA". Rfam says of the family: Transfer RNA (tRNA) molecules are approximately 80 nucleotides in length. Their secondary structure includes four short double-helical elements and three loops (D, anti-codon, and T loops). Further hydrogen bonds mediate the characteristic L-shaped molecular structure. tRNAs have two regions of fundamental functional importance: the anti-codon, which is responsible for specific mRNA codon recognition, and the 3' end, to which the tRNAs corresponding amino acid is attached (by aminoacyl-tRNA synthetases). tRNAs cope with the degeneracy of the genetic code in two manners: having more than one tRNA (with a specific anti-codon) for a particular amino acid; and 'wobble' base-pairing, i.e. permitting non-standard base-pairing at the 3rd anti-codon position. The record is from Rfam by way of RNAcentral. Lineage: Eukaryota; Metazoa; Chordata; Mammalia; Rodentia; Heteromyidae.
GGAAAUGUGGCUUAGUGGUAGAGUACUUGCCUAGCAUACAUGAAGCCCUGGGUUCAAGUCCUCAGUACCA